Molecule: ribosomal RNA, 588 nt
Filed under: uncultured Actinomycetes bacterium
Lineage: Bacteria; Bacillati; Actinomycetota; Actinomycetes
Description: bacterial SSU rRNA
Rfam family: Bacterial small subunit ribosomal RNA
Source: RNAcentral
UCGAACGGAAAGGCCCUGCUUGCAGGGUACUCGAGUGGCGAACGGGUGAGUAACACGUGGGUGAUCUGCCCUGCACUUCGGGAUAAGCCUGGGAAACUGGGUCUAAUACCGGAUAGGAGCCAUUUUUAGUGUGAUGGUUGGAAAGUUUUUUCGGUGUAGGAUGAGCUCGCGGCCUAUCAGCUUGUUGGUGGGGUAAUGGCCUACCAAGGCGGCGACGGGUAGCCGGCCUGAGAGGGUGGACGGCCACAUUGGGACUGAGAUACGGCCCAGACUCCUACGGGAGGCAGCAGUGGGGAAUAUUGCACAAUGGGCGCAAGCCUGAUGCAGCGACGCCGCGUGGGGGAUGACGGCCUUCGGGUUGUAAACUCCUUUCGCUAGGGACGAAGCUUUUUGUGACGGUACCUAGAUAAGAAGCACCGGCUAACUACGUGCCAGCAGCCGCGGUAAUACGUAGGGUGCGAGCGUUGUCCGGAAUUACUGGGCGUAAAGGGCUCGUAGGUGGUUUGUCGCGUCGUCUGUGAAAUUCCGGGGCUUAACUCCGGGCGUGCAGGCGAUACGGGCAUAACUUGAGUACUGUAGGGGUAACUG